GUGAUGUUGCACGAGCAAAGAUUAAACACUUCUCAUGAAUUCCAAGAAAGUACAGUCAGCACAUCCGUGAGCUGAGUGUCAGACUUGGCAUACACACCCACUGAUACAAACACCCACAUCGAUCACGUUUGCAGGCAGCGCUGCAAACGGAUGGUAAACACAGAGACGUGCCAAACAACAAGCAAAUGCCAAGUUUAAAACACAUGUGCCAAAGGAAACGCUAGAUGCGCAACUGGACCUAUGACACGCCAACAACAUGCUGGUGGAGCGAGCCACACAUCCAAGACAUGGUCAACAUUUAUAUUUCUAAAAAAUAUAAGUUCUAUAUUUGAUUAUUUAUGCACAUGUGACUAUUUUGCUGUAAGAAAAAUAAACAACGUCUGCUCGGUGCCCUUGAGGAUGGUCAGGAAAGUCAGUUUCCACCGUGUUUGAUUGUAUCCCUCAUAACUCCUAACAAAAAGUUCCACCUAUAAGAUUCAGUCAGCAACAAAAUCUGCAGCCUAUUAUAAGUCUCUAAGCACACAGGACAAACUAUACACAGCUUGUGGAAAGCGCCCCCCAGUGGCAAUUCAUGGCAGUGACACUAUCUAUCUAUCUAGGCAAAUGAUGUUCCUUAGAAGUCUCAAUGCAAUAGUGAUCACUAUGGUGGUCACUUUGUCAUAAAAACACGUUUUCAUUCAAAAAAAUAAUUUAUUAAAUGUCUAAGGUCGACAUAAAUUACUCAUUAAUUAGUAAGAUAUUGAGUAAGCAUUUUACUGAUAAAUCAGUUUUUUUAAAUCAGGUUUUAUAGGCUAUAAUAAAAUAAUACACGUAUUUGUUCAAAUAAACCUGAAAUGGUAAUGAUAACGUGUUUUUUUUAGGCCACAAAGCUGUGGUAAAAAGAGUGCUUUGCAUUUUUUUAUAAGCCUAUUUGAUACAUUUCCUCUCUUUCAGUCUAUCCAUCUAGUAAUUGCUUUAAUGACUCGUUAAAUCACCAAUGUUCCUUUAAUUCCCUUUCUCAUCCUUACUCCACAAAGACACGUUUGAAUUAAAAGAAAAAGUAGACUAUGCUCAAAUUAGACACGAUCACAGGCAAAGAGAAGCAGACUGAGUAGGCUAUUGUUUUUCUUACAUUCUUAGGCUAUUUGUUUCUUUGUUGUUCUGGAUGUGUGCUGCAAUCCUCCUUGUGGUCACUAGGGGGGGUUACGGCGCCAGAAAUCGUUACGCACGGUAGCUCCCAUCGACGCCCCUGAGCUGCCGCCGGGACACAGUGACGGAUUGGCAACAAACGAAGAAAACUUCGGUGUGCGUGCGCUUGUCAUCCACUAUUUAUGUUUCAAACUUCUGGGGGAAUGUGCUCGCUUGUGAAGCCGAGGCUACUCUAGGCGAAGAAGCUCUGCUCAUCAGACCGCUCCGUCAACUCUGUCCGUCUGCCUCAUCAACACCAGUGCCGAAAAGUGAAUUGGAUGACUCUUCUAAAGUGCUCGCUCAGUGAACCAGAGGCCUGGUCGUCGGUCAUCCAUUCCCCACAACCUGAGACUCUUCGAAAGGACACGGAUUUCAACUUUUCCGGGGAUUUCCAGGUGUUGUAAGAGCCGUUGCCAUCACCCGGCGGCCUGCUGCGGA
Morone saxatilis (striped sea-bass) is the source of this 1605-nucleotide long non-coding RNA. RefSeq lists it as uncharacterized. NCBI's taxonomy places the organism in Eukaryota, Metazoa, Chordata, Actinopteri, Moronidae. The transcript has 5 exons. The record is from RefSeq and is a predicted model, not a curated record.